Long non-coding RNA from Fundulus heteroclitus (mummichog), 370 nucleotides. RefSeq lists it as uncharacterized. The transcript has 3 exons. Lineage: Eukaryota; Metazoa; Chordata; Actinopteri; Cyprinodontiformes; Fundulidae. The record is from RefSeq and is a predicted model, not a curated record.
CACCACCUGAGUGGACUGAUCCAGCAGCUCAGGUGUUCUCAGCUAUAUACUCAGGUGUGUCCAGGUGUGUUCUGAGCUAUAUACCCAGGUGUGUCCAGGUGUGUUCUGAGCUAUAUACUCAGGUGUGUUCUGAACUAUAUACUCAGGUGUGUUCUGAACUAUAUACUCAGGUGUGUCCAGGUGUGUUCUGAACUAUAUACCCAGGUGUGUCCAGGUGUGUUGUGAGCUUUAUACCCAGGUGUGUCCAGGUGUGUUCUGAGCUAUAUACCCAGGUGUGUUCUGAGCUUUAUACCCAGGUGUGUUCUGAGCUAUAUACUCAGGUGUGUCCAGGUGUGUUCUGAGCUUUAUACCCAGGUGUGUCCAGGUGUGU